GGCGUGUCUCGCGGAGACUUCUUGGCCCUGGACCGCUACAAAACAGAACCGUCUGCGUCUAACAGUCCUUGGGGAGCCGGAGACUGUUGCCUGGACCGUGGGCUGACACAGGACAUUUCGGAAGUCCUCUCUCUGGCCAUGUGGCGGCCUCUUGUCCUACUCGCGCUCCUGCAGCUCCGGGCCGCCCAGGGCCCCCCCAUCCCGGGCCGCCAGGACAGCCUCCCCAGCUCGUCGCAAACUUUCAGCCGCCCCGCAUGGGCGGAGCAGACAGGAGAAAAGGAAGUCCUGAACCUGCCGAGAGAGCCCAAGCUGGAGGAGACACAGGCAUGUAGGCGGCCGCUGUCCCAAUCCUGGGCUCCCUCUGGCCUCCAGGCUCCAGAGGAGCAGCCCGGAAGCCCCAGAGGAGGACGACCGUGAAGGACAUCGAGGGUCACAGGCCGACCUGGGCAGGAUCUUCAGAGGGGCUCAGCAGGCUCCGGCAGCUGCCAUAGGUGCUGGGGCUGGGCAUACAGGUGUAACCCUCCUGACCCUGCUUCCAGUGCCAUCCGGAAAUAAAGUUCUUUUUGCAGCUUAGCAGUGCU
Fukomys damarensis (Damara mole-rat) is the source of this 581-nucleotide long non-coding RNA. RefSeq lists it as uncharacterized. The record is from RefSeq and is a predicted model, not a curated record. Lineage: Eukaryota; Metazoa; Chordata; Mammalia; Rodentia; Bathyergidae. The transcript has 3 exons.